AGGGGGAUGGCGCAGUUGGAGUGCGUUGCGCCUGGAAAGUCUGUGCAUAGGCUGUACAGGCAGUUGGUUCGAAUCCGGCUCCCUCUG
Non-coding RNA from Parachaetomium inaequale, 87 nucleotides. Lineage: Eukaryota; Fungi; Ascomycota; Sordariomycetes; Sordariales; Chaetomiaceae. The record is from the annotation of a GenBank genome assembly.